UUGAGAGUUUGAUCCUGGCUCAGAACGAACGCUGGCGGCAGGCCUAACACAUGCAAGUCGAGCGAGACCUUCGGGUCUAGCGGCGGACGGGGGAGUAACGCGUGGGAACGUACCCUCUUCUGCGGAAUAGCCACUGGAAACGGUGAGUAAUACCGCAUACGCCCUUCGGGGGAAAG
Molecule: ribosomal RNA, 176 nt
Filed under: Alexandrium margalefii
Lineage: Eukaryota; Dinophyceae; Gonyaulacales; Pyrocystaceae
Description: partial Bacterial small subunit ribosomal RNA
Rfam family: Bacterial small subunit ribosomal RNA
Source: RNAcentral